Molecule: long non-coding RNA, 528 nt
Filed under: Sus scrofa (pig)
Lineage: Eukaryota; Metazoa; Chordata; Mammalia; Artiodactyla; Suidae
Description: lncRNA (ENSSSCG00025004185.1, ENSSSCG00055001077.1)
Source: RNAcentral
CCUCACAGAAGCCGGCUAAUGGAGGCGGUGCAAUAAUCGCAGAAAGGAAAGGCUGAUGAAAGAUUUAGGGGGCGACCCAAAGGGAAAGGCAUGUGUGUGAAGGAGCAGUUGGCAGAGUGGGAUUUCAUCCCCUGUUCCCGCAUCUGUCUGUGGAGGAGCUGGUCAUCCAAGAAGAAGCAGCCUCGUUUGUUUCGGGUGUCAUCGUAGGUGUCCACCUUUGGCUUUGGGGGAACAGCCAGGUCUUGCUUACUCCUGCCUUGGGAAGUCCUUCCCAAUGUCUAACCAAGAUCUGUACCGCUGAAGUACCAGUUCUUUGACCCUCGGCUUGACAUGGCUAAUUUGAGAGGCACAGGGAGGAACUGACCUUGAUUUGGCACCUGCUUGCUUGUACCAAAAAGAAGAACCUACUUCACCCACUUGUCCUGGGUUCCCUCUGAGACGCUGUCUUGAUUGACUGAAAGAUGAGGCUAAACUCUAGCAAGUUGAGUGGCUCCUCCCAGAAUCCUUUAAGCAGGAUAGAAGUGGGGA